This 59-nucleotide transfer RNA is filed under the name Bos taurus (domestic cattle). It matches the Rfam family "tRNA", at positions 7 to 64 of the family's 71-position model. From Rfam's summary of the family: Transfer RNA (tRNA) molecules are approximately 80 nucleotides in length. Their secondary structure includes four short double-helical elements and three loops (D, anti-codon, and T loops). Further hydrogen bonds mediate the characteristic L-shaped molecular structure. tRNAs have two regions of fundamental functional importance: the anti-codon, which is responsible for specific mRNA codon recognition, and the 3' end, to which the tRNAs corresponding amino acid is attached (by aminoacyl-tRNA synthetases). tRNAs cope with the degeneracy of the genetic code in two manners: having more than one tRNA (with a specific anti-codon) for a particular amino acid; and 'wobble' base-pairing, i.e. permitting non-standard base-pairing at the 3rd anti-codon position. The record is from Rfam by way of RNAcentral. RNAcentral also lists the same sequence under 5 other names. Lineage: Eukaryota; Metazoa; Chordata; Mammalia; Artiodactyla; Bovidae.
UUAGCUCAGAUGGUAAAGAAUCUGCCUGCAAUGCAGGAGACCCAGGUUCAAUCCCUGGA